This 501-nucleotide ribosomal RNA is filed under the name uncultured Glomeromycotina. RNAcentral's name for it is "partial small subunit ribosomal RNA". It matches the Rfam family "Eukaryotic small subunit ribosomal RNA", at positions 591 to 1092 of the family's 1831-position model. The record is from RNAcentral. Lineage: Eukaryota; Fungi; Glomeromycota.
CCAAUAGCGUAUAUUAAAGUUGUUGCAGUUAAAAAGCUCGUAGUUGAAUUUCGGGAUCAAUACGUCGGUCGUGCUUUCGGGUACGUACUGGCGUCAUUGGUUUCUCCUUUCUGACGAACCAUGAUGCCAUUAAUUUGGUGUUAUGGGGAGUUAGGACUGUUACUUUGAAAAAAUUAGAGUGUUUAAAGCAGGCAUUAGCUUGAAUACAUUAGCAUGGAAUAAUGAAAUAGGACGUUCGAUCCUAUUUUGUUGGUUUCUAGGAUCAACGUAAUGAUUAAUAGGGAUAGUUGGGGGCAUUAGUAUUCAAUUGUCAGAGGUGAAAUUCUUGGAUUUAUUGAAGACUAACUACUGCGAAAGCAUUUGCCAAGGAUGUUUUCAUUAAUCAAGAACGAAAGUUAGGGGAUCGAAGACGAUCAGAUACCGUCGUAGUCUUAACCAUAAACUAUGCCGACUAGGGAUCGGAUGAUGUUAAUUUUUUAAUGACUCAUUCGGCGCCUUACG